Molecule: non-coding RNA, 47 nt
Filed under: unclassified sequences
Description: SAM-SAH-Weickhmann-2018 RNA
Rfam family: SAM/SAH riboswitch aptamer
Source: RNAcentral
UCGUCACAACGGCUUCCUGGCGUGAUGGCAAAGACCUCAACGGAGCA